Musa acuminata subsp. malaccensis (wild Malaysian banana) is the source of this 1237-nucleotide non-coding RNA. Lineage: Eukaryota; Viridiplantae; Streptophyta; Magnoliopsida; Zingiberales; Musaceae. The record is from RefSeq and is a predicted model, not a curated record.
UUAUACACAUAUCCGAGUCGGCCACCUAUCGUUUUUAACCUUAUUAGACCCUUACUCGGAUUCGGCAGCGGAAUACUCCUGCCUCCCUGCGAAAACGGGAUCCAGGAACAGCGCGGUCGGCGUCUUCCCCUCCAUCGGCGAACGGCAACGGCGUGCGGGCUCUUCCGCGGGUUUUCUGGAAGGAGGAAGACUUAGAGUUCAUGUGACAAGUUCAUAUGAAGUCUUAUGAGAAUUUAUAUUUUUGCCAUUUGGAUUUGGACCCACAGCUGUGAGGAAAUUUUUUUGGUACCAGCAGCAAGAUGAAUGGAGAAGAUCGUGUUCCACGGCCUCUAUUUGGGGGCGCCAUAUCUAGUUGCUUUCCUUCGAGGUUUCAGGAUGUAAGCAACAUACGGGAAGUCCCCGAUCAUCAGGAGGUGUUUGCAGAUCCCGAUCGGGAUGAGAGCCUUAUUUUUGAGCUACUAGAUCUGAAACACGAGGUUGGAGACGGUGGAAGCGCUGUUUGGUUCCUGCAGGACAUUGCCCGUGAACAAGAUGCUGAAGAAACCAUGGUCCUUGAGCAUUCUGGCACUCUUGAGGCUGUUGGUUUAACAAGCCUAAAUGGACCUGCAAUAGUUACAACUGCCAUCGGUCGAAUGGCCAUUGCAAAGGGAAGGCAAGGAAGAGAGGCACAGAAUUUGGUUAGGGUAUAUCUGGCAAAUUUGCGUCUUAAGGAAGUUUCGACUGACGUGGUGAUCACUGCAUAUGAGCCUAUUUUAAUAAACCCAUUGAGUGAAAGUGCAAGGACCGUAAGAGCUGGUCUGGCCAUACCUGCUGCGCAGGCUGGAUGCCUCCCGAUGGCUGAAGUCUUCAAACUUGCUAUCACAAACUUCAAGAUCCAUGAUUGGAGUCUUUUUGGCUCUGGGGCCUGACACAUCUCCAUCACCAACGUAAAGAAGGCAUAAGAUGAUGAACUAUUUCUCACUGGUUGGGGUUUUGUGAAGGAUGUCUGUACCUUUGGUUCUGGACUUGAAGAGGUUCCUCCAUGUCAGAGCUUUCAUCAAAAACUAGUCAGAGUCGGAAUUUGGCAUCAUCUGGUUUUGAUGUUGAUUGGAAAUCCAAAAUGUUCAAUGACCAACACAUGUAUAACUUGGAUGUCUCCUUGGGCAUCCAAACACCCUAAUACUUUUUGUUACCAAUAAUUAAUUUGAAUGGCUGCAUGGAUUUCCAUGCCGGAGCCGAGAAUCCAAUGACUUGAAAA